AAUAAUAUACUGACGCUGAUGGACGAAAGCGUAGGUAGCGAACAGGAUUAGAUACCCUGGUAGUCCACGCCGUAAACGAUGUCGACCAGCCGUUGGGUGCCUAGCGCACUUUGUGGCGAAGUUAACGCGAUAAGUCGACCGCCUGGGGAGUACGGCCGCAAGGUUAAAACUCAAAUGAAUUGACGGGGGCCCGCACAAGCGGUGGAGCAUGUGGUUUAAUUCGAUGCAACGCGAAGAACCUUACCUACUCUUGACAUCCUGCGAACUUGUGAGAGAUCACUUGGUGCCUUCGGGAGCGCAGAGACAGGUGCUGCAUGGCUGUCGUCAGCCCGUGUUGUGAAAUGUUGGGUUAAGUCCCGUAACGAGCGCAACCCUUGUCCUUAUUUGCCAGCACGUAAUGGUGGGAACUCUAAGGAGACUGCCGGUGACAAACCGGAGGAAGGUGGGGACGACGACAAGUCAUCAUGGCCCUUACGAGUAGGGCUACACACGUGCUACAAUGGCCGGUACAAAGGGCUGCGAGCUCGCGAGAGUCAGCGAAUCCCUUAAAGCCGGUCUCAGUCCGGAUCGGAGUCUGCAACUCGACUCCGUGAAGUCGGAAUCGCUAGUAAUCGUGCAUCAGAAUGGCACGGUGAAUACGUUCCCGGGCCUUGCACACACCGCCCGU
RNAcentral lists this ribosomal RNA (667 nucleotides) under uncultured bacterium. RNAcentral's name for it is "bacterial SSU rRNA". It matches the Rfam family "Bacterial small subunit ribosomal RNA", at positions 731 to 1397 of the family's 1533-position model. The record is from RNAcentral.